RNAcentral lists this long non-coding RNA (205 nucleotides) under Lathyrus oleraceus (garden pea). Its description in RNAcentral is "Pisum sativum (pea) long non-coding RNA (PSAT_LNC019884)". Lineage: Eukaryota; Viridiplantae; Streptophyta; Magnoliopsida; Fabales; Fabaceae. The record is from RNAcentral.
AAGAAGUUUCCGACGUUCAGGUCGAUGCAACUUGUGGCGUUUAGGCCAAUUUUCUGAUGUUCAGAUCGAAGAAGUUUCCGACGUUCAGGUCGAUGCAACUUGUGGCGUUCAGGCCAGUUUUCUGACGUUCAAAUCGAAGAAGUUUCUGACGUUCAGACUUGGACCUCUCUUAAAAGCCCACUAAGAGAAAAUCUCUUAAAAAAAC